RNAcentral lists this ribosomal RNA (1064 nucleotides) under Photobacterium damselae subsp. damselae. Its description in RNAcentral is "bacterial SSU rRNA". It matches the Rfam family "Bacterial small subunit ribosomal RNA", at positions 469 to 1533 of the family's 1533-position model. The record is from RNAcentral. Lineage: Bacteria; Pseudomonadati; Pseudomonadota; Gammaproteobacteria; Vibrionales; Vibrionaceae.
UUGACGUUACCUACAGAAGAAGCACCGGCUAACUCCGUGCCAGCAGCCGCGGUAAUACGGAGGGUGCGAGCGUUAAUCGGAAUUACUGGGCGUAAAGCGCAUGCAGGCGGCCUGUUAAGUCAGAUGUGAAAGCCCGGGGCUUAACCUCGGAAUUGCAUUUGAAACUGGCAGGCUAGAGUCUUGUAGAGGGGGGUAGAAUUUCAGGUGUAGCGGUGAAAUGCGUAGAGAUCUGAAGGAAUACCAGUGGCGAAGGCGGCCCCCUGGACAAAGACUGACGCUCAGAUGCGAAAGCGUGGGGAGCAAACAGGAUUAGAUACCCUGGUAGUCCACGCCGUAAACGAUGUCUACUUGGAGGUUGUGGCCUUGAGCCGUGGCUUUCGGAGCUAACGCGUUAAGUAGACCGCCUGGGGAGUACGGUCGCAAGAUUAAAACUCAAAUGAAUUGACGGGGGCCCGCACAAGCGGUGGAGCAUGUGGUUUAAUUCGAUGCAACGCGAAGAACCUUACCUACUCUUGACAUCCAGAGAAACUUGAAGAGAUUCGAGUGUGCCUUCGGGAACUCUGAGACAGGUGCUGCAUGGCUGUCGUCAGCUCGUGUUGUGAAAUGUUGGGUUAAGUCCCGCAACGAGCGCAACCCUUAUCCUUGUUUGCCAGCACUUCGGGUGGGAACUCCAGGGAGACUGCCGGUGAUAAACCGGAGGAAGGUGGGGACGACGUCAAGUCAUCAUGGCCCUUACGAGUAGGGCUACACACGUGCUACAAUGGCAUAUACAGAGGGCAGCAAGACCGCGAGGUGGAGCGAAUCCCAGAAAGUAUGUCGUAGUCCGGAUCGGAGUCUGCAACUCGACUCCGUGAAGUCGGAAUCGCUAGUAAUCGUGGAUCAGAAUGCCACGGUGAAUACGUUCCCGGGCCUUGUACACACCGCCCGUCACACCAUGGGAGUGGGCUGCACCAGAAGUAGAUAGCUUAACCUUCGGGAGGGCGUUUACCACGGUGUGGUUCAUGACUGGGGUGAAGUCGUAACAAGGUAGCCCUAGGGGAACCUGGGGCUGGAUCACCUCCUUA